Molecule: ribosomal RNA, 663 nt
Filed under: Staphylococcus aureus
Lineage: Bacteria; Bacillati; Bacillota; Bacilli; Caryophanales; Staphylococcaceae
Description: partial 23S ribosomal RNA
Rfam family: Bacterial large subunit ribosomal RNA
Source: RNAcentral
GGAGGUAGAGCACUGUUUGGACGAGGGGCCCCUCUCGGGUUACCGAAUUCAGACAAACUCCGAAUGCCAAUUAAUUUAACUUGGGAGUCAGAACAUGGGUGAUAAGGUCCGUGUUCGAAAGGGAAACAGCCCAGACCACCAGCUAAGGUCCCAAAAUAUAUGUUAAGUGGAAAAGGAUGUGGCGUUGCCCAGACAACUAGGAUGUUGGCUUAGAAGCAGCCAUCAUUUAAAGAGUGCGUAAUAGCUCACUAGUCGAGUGACACUGCGCCGAAAAUGUACCGGGGCUAAACAUAUUACCGAAGCUGUGGAUUGUCCUUUGGACAAUGGUAGGAGAGCGUUCUAAGGGCGUUGAAGCAUGAUCGUAAGGACAUGUGGAGCGCUUAGAAGUGAGAAUGCCGGUGUGAGUAGCGAAAGACGGGUGAGAAUCCCGUCCACCGAUUGACUAAGGUUUCCAGAGGAAGGCUCGUCCGCUCUGGGUUAGUCGGGUCCUAAGCUGAGGCCGACAGGCGUAGGCGAUGGAUAACAGGUUGAUAUUCCUGUACCACCUAUAAUCGUUUUAAUCGAUGGGGGGACGCAGUAGGAUAGGCGAAGCGUGCGAUUGGAUUGCACGUCUAAGCAGUAAGGCUGAGUAUUAGGCAAAUCCGGUACUCGUUAAGGCUGAGC